CUAAAUAUAGACUUCAAGGACUUGCCCGGGCACUGAUUGCCCGCGCCGGCCGAUCGGGCCUCAGGGGAGGGACGAGGCUGAGAGAGGGGACCCUCCAACUCCGGCCCUUCCAGGGGCGCCGGGGGACCGAAGAGAGAUUUGGGAAGGAGGGCUCUCUGGCGAGCUGGGAGGCUGUGACCUGGCCACAGGCGGCGGUCGCGGCGCGGAGGGCGCCCGAGGGUGUCCCAGGGGCCCUGGGAAGCGUUCUGGGCUCCCGCGUCUCUGCACCGUUGCAUCUCAAAGCGGGAGGACACAGUUCCGCGCCUAUGCCCAAGUGGAGGCAACUCGCCAUGCAGGGAUCUGCCUUCCUGUGGAAUGAUCUCCAAUGAUCUUCAAGUAUCUCCUGCAGACCCAGUUCUCUUGCUAAAUAAGUCACUGGAAGAUAAUUCCUGGACACACCUUGGACAGCUCCCCACAUUUCUCUAUUUGGAGCUUUGGGGUGGUAGGAAAUUGAUGCCCUCAGAAAGGACACCCCCAACCAGCAAGAAACCAGAGUUGGUGGAAAACAUCAUUUCUUCACUCUCGAUGGGACAACCUGAAGGCAUGUUCUAGUCAAUACUCCUUCUCACAGGUCCCCAACAAGAGUUAGAGACAGAGUCUCGCUCUGUUGUUCAGGCUGGAGUGCAGUGGCGCCAUCAUGGCUCACUGCAGCCUUGAACUCCUGGGCUCAAGCAAUUCUCCCACCCGAGUAGCUGGAGUAUAGGUUCUCACCAACACGCACAGCUCUUUAUCUUUGACUUUCUGUUUCAUUUCUCUAUUCCCUCAUUAUGCUUCCUGGGAUCAUUUCACAGAUAAGCUACUUGCUCCCAAAUCCUUGUCUCAGGGGCAGUCAACAGAGACAGUGGCAGAGGACCAUGGGAGAGCUAGAAUUUCAGGUCUCCAGACUCCUAGUCCAGUGCUCUUUCCAGGGUUUCUCAACCUUGGCACUAUUAACAUUUUGGACUGGAUAAUGCAUUGCUAGGGAGGGUUGACCUAUGCACCGUAGGAUGUUUAGUAGCAUCCCUGACCUUUGUCCACUAAAUGCCACUAGCAUCCUCCAGUUGGGAACAGUCAAAACUGUUUUCUGCUUUAUCAGAAGUUCCCCGGGGCAAAACACUGUGGUUGCAAACCACUAUUCCACAUCAGGCCAUCUCCCUUGCCAGGUCCAGAGAAAGAAUUUCAAGCCCCAAGAUUCCUUUCCCCUCCCUGUUGCUCUUUAGAUCACAUAAAUGAAACCACUGGAAACUGACCCCCCAAUCCUUUAUUAGAGAUGAGUGAAAUAACAAGUCUGAGAUGAAUGAAACCAGACACUGGGGGCUCAAAAGACAACCCUGUUCCUGUGGGAACCACAGACCAGUCAGGUCUCCAGGGGAAACAGCACAGCCUCCCCAGCCAGGCAGCUGUGUUGGCCAUUGGUGCUCUCUAGUCUCCCCUGCUUGGCUUGGCCCAUUCCUGCCAGGGCCCAGCACCCAGCAACUGGCAAGUUGAGAUGUUAGUGGUUGAUGAUGGCUUAGGUGUAUCUGCUUUCUCAUUGGGGCUGAGCAAUGAUAGAAUUUCUAGGGCUGGGAAGCAGAACCCUUAAGUCUCUGCCCUCCCAAUUCUAUUACUCUCCCUUCUUUCUUUGCCUCUCCAUUCCCUCAGACUAAAAGGCUCCUGAGUUGACCAAGAGAAAGAGAAGAGAAGUGGGCAUCCAUCAACCCUGACUAUUCCUUUCCUUCCUGCUAAAUCAAGGACACAGGCAAAUGUGGGUGCAUCUGACUCUACAAUUUGGCUGGGGAAUAUAGGAGAAUGCCUAGGGAAGGCUGUGCUGUCCCUCAAAAGGAGUGACAUUCAGAAUAUUUUUAUUUAACAGCCAGUACAGCAUGCAUGUUGACCAGCCAGAAUGGAUGUGAUCUGUAGACAAUUGUAAUGGUCAUAUAGGUAUAAACCAGCUGAGUCCAGAGCCAUGCCCUGGAAUCUGACCCUGCCUAUUCCCAAGCCCAACCCUUAAGACCAGCUUUCCACCAAAGGACCACCCCUGCAGGGCCCUUGUCUUACUCGUGUGGUAUCUGAAGUGCCUAACACAGGUCCAGACAUAGAGUUGGAAUUUAGUGAAGGAAUAUUAGACUAAUAAAUGGCUGGCUGAGAAGACAGUCCCUACUUGGCAGGGUCCCUGAUCUGGAAGUCAGUGAUGGAGGGCUCUCCUGCCCUUGUGAAGCCCCCAGACUGACGGGGGAAAUAGAGUCUCGAUCUGAUGAGGGACUGAGAGUUCUGCAGCUGAAGCCAGCUCAGGAGCACUCAGAUCCAGCCACAGGGCUCCCAGGCCCCUAGCGGGUAAUGAGAUAGGAAAGAACCGCCAUCAGUCCUAACAGGGAAAGGCCAUGUGUCCUUGGUAGAGGCAUGGCCUGUGGCAGGAAGAAGGCCAGCUACAGAGG
This 2432-nucleotide long non-coding RNA is filed under the name Homo sapiens (human). RNAcentral's name for it is "HSALNT0290763". The record is from RNAcentral. Lineage: Eukaryota; Metazoa; Chordata; Mammalia; Primates; Hominidae.